UUGCCGGGCGGCUGCUAUACAUGCAAGUCGAGCGCGGGAAGCGAGCUGAUCCCUUCGGGGUGACGCUCGUGGAACGAGCGGCGGACGGGUGAGUAACACGUGGGCAACCUGCCUGUAAGAUCGGGAUAACUCCGGGAAACCGGGGCUAAUACCGGGUAAUACUUUCUUUCGCAUGAAGGAAAGUUGAAAGAUGGCUUCUCGCUAUCACUUACAGAUGGGCCCGCGGCGCAUUAGCUAGUUGGUGAGGUAACGGCUCACCAAGGCGACGAUGCGUAGCCGACCUGAGAGGGUGAUCGGCCACACUGGGACUGAGACACGGCCCAGACUCCUACGGGAGGCAGCAGUAGGGAAUCUUCCGCAAUGGACGAAAGUCUGACGGAGCAACGCCGCGUGAACGAUGAAGGUCUUCGGAUCGUAAAGUUCUGUUGUUAGGGAAGAACAAGUACCGUGCGAAUAGAGCGGUACCUUGACGGUACCUAACGAGGAAGCCCCGGCUAACUACGUGCCAGCAGCCGCGGUAAUACGUAGGGGGCAAGCGUUGUCCGGAAUUAUUGGGCGUAAAGCGCGCGCAGGCGGUUCCUUAAGUCUGAUGUGAAAGCCCACGGCUCAACCGUGGAGGGUCAUUGGAAACUGGGGAACUUGAGGACAGAAGAGGAGAGUGGAAUUCCACGUGUAGCGGUGAAAUGCGUAGAUAUGUGGAGGAACACCAGUGGCGAAGGCGACUCUCUGGUCUGUUUCUGACGCUGAGGUGCGAAAGCGUGGGUAGCAACAGGAUUAGAUACCCUGGUAGUCCACGCCGUAAACGAUGAGUGCUAGGUGUUAGGGGGCUUCCACCCCUUAGUGCUGAAGUUAACGCAUUAAGCACUCCGCCUGGGGAGUACGGCCGCAAGGCUGAAACUCAAAGGAAUUGACGGGGGCCCGCACAAGCGGUGGAGCAUGUGGUUUAAUUCGAAGCAACGCGAAAACCUUACCAGUCUUGACAUCCUUGGACCUCCCUAGAGAUAGGGAUUUCCCUUCGGGACAAGUGACAGGUGGUGCAUGGUGUCGUCAGCUCGUGUCGUGAGAAUGUGGGUAGUCCCGCACGAGCGCAACCCCUGAUCUUAGUUGCCAGCAUUCAGUUGG
RNAcentral lists this ribosomal RNA (1122 nucleotides) under Bacillus sp. B-13. RNAcentral's name for it is "bacterial SSU rRNA". It matches the Rfam family "Bacterial small subunit ribosomal RNA", at positions 37 to 1134 of the family's 1533-position model. Lineage: Bacteria; Bacillati; Bacillota; Bacilli; Caryophanales; Bacillaceae. The record is from RNAcentral.